ACAAGCUGAUCCACCGACAGUCACAUGAGGAAUAUUCAUGUCUGGAGGCUGCAAGAUGGCCAUUUUAAACCGGAAGUUUAAGGAGGACCACCUCACCAAGGCAGAGAAUAAACCAUGUUCAACAUAUUCCACUGUGACGUCCAGAAACAGCUCAGCUCUGAAAGAUUCUGCUUACCUUAAUAAUCCGAGCCAGUCCGAAGUCGGCCACCUUGCACACCAGAUCGUCUCCCACCAGGAUGUUCCUGGCAGCCAGGUCUCUGUGGACGAUGUUUCUAUCCUCCAG
Molecule: long non-coding RNA, 283 nt
Organism: Dicentrarchus labrax (European seabass)
Lineage: Eukaryota; Metazoa; Chordata; Actinopteri; Moronidae
Exons: 3
Source: RefSeq, a predicted model, not a curated record